RNAcentral lists this long non-coding RNA (910 nucleotides) under Neodiprion lecontei (redheaded pine sawfly). RNAcentral's name for it is "uncharacterized LOC124293725". Lineage: Eukaryota; Metazoa; Arthropoda; Insecta; Hymenoptera; Diprionidae. The record is from RNAcentral.
GGUUGGCAUGGUAUACAUAAGAAUACACGAAUGUAACUUCGUUCAGUUGGAGCUAAAAUUGCUGUGCGUCGUGUUUAAGAUCUGUUAGCACUUAGCUGAUUGUUCUGUGGUAUUUUUUGACGAAAUUUGCUGUCAUAAAAUCACAAUACGUUGUACUUACAUGCAUGCGUGAACGUGAUUUGUAGCAUUAUAUAGAAAAAAUCUUACGGGUAGAUUCGGUUUGCCUCACAUGCACAAAGACAGUGUUCAUUCUGUACACUGUGAAGCAAAUACCAGAAUUUUUCGAGGAGUCAUCGUGCCUCAGUCUCCCCUACAACUUUGUCAUCUGGUAAAACACUGACAACGAAUAAGCGAGCGCCCGAGCACAAAAACCAGUUACGUAGGCAUCCGACCCCGAGCGAGCUUCAGCAAACAAAAAUGACGCACUCCAUCUUUCCUGCCAAUUCGAGAUUCCAGCGGCAAGGCGCUUCAAUGGUCAGCUAAUAACUUCGCCAUUUUGCGAAGAUUGAUGAGCGAUCCACCAACAUUAUAACAAGUUACUGGCGAUGCCUGUCUGUACAUAGUAGAAAAAAUUCAAGAGAGACAAAUAGAGGUGGUUGGCGGUAGUUGGAGGUGGUUGGACGUGGUGGAAGGCGGUUAGGGGUGGACGAGGUGGACGAGGAGGAGGACGAGGAAGAAGAAGAAAAGAGGAUUUGUGCACGAUAUAACCCCAGGUGGUUAUCGUUGUUUGUUGGGGGUGGUUGGAGGUGGUCGCAGGUGGUCGGAAGUAUUCGACGGCGGUUGCGGGUGAUCGAGGUGGACAAGGAGGAGGACGACAAAGACGAGGAGAACAAGGUGGACAAGGAAGACAAGGAUUUGUGCUCGGUACAACCCGAGGUGGUUAUCGGUGGUUGUUCGAGGUGGUUGGCGA